Molecule: ribosomal RNA, 482 nt
Filed under: uncultured bacterium
Lineage: Bacteria
Description: bacterial SSU rRNA
Rfam family: Bacterial small subunit ribosomal RNA
Source: RNAcentral
GACGAACGCUGGCGGCGUGCUUAACACAUGCAAGUCGAACGGAAAGGCCCUUCGGGGUGCUCGAGUGGCGAACGGGUGAGUAACACGUGAGUAACCUGUCCUGGUCUUUGGGAUAACCUUCGGAAACGGGGGCUAAUACCGGAUACUCCCUCUCUGUCGCAUGGUGGGGUGGGGAAAGUGUUUAGCGGAUCAGGUUGGGCUCGCGGCCUAUCAGCUUGUUGGUGGGGUGAUGGCCUACCAAGGCUUUGACGGGUAGCCGGCCUGAGAGGGCGACCGGCCACACUGGGACUGAGACACGGCCCAGACUCCUACGGGAGGCAGCAGUGGGGAAUAUUGCACAAUGGACGGAAGUCUGAUGCAGCGACGCCGUGUGAGGGAUGACGGCCUUCGGGUUGUAAACCUCUUUCGACCAGGACGAAGCUAACGUGACGGUACUGGUAGAAGAAGCGCCGGCCAACUACGUGCCAGCCGCCGCGGUAAAC